Molecule: ribosomal RNA, 253 nt
Filed under: uncultured bacterium
Lineage: Bacteria
Description: partial 16S ribosomal RNA
Rfam family: Bacterial small subunit ribosomal RNA
Source: RNAcentral
UACGGAGGGCGCAAGCGUUGUCCGGAAUUAUUGGGCGUAAAGAGCUCGUAGGCGGCCAGUUGCGUCUGCUGUGAAAUCCCGGGGCUCAACCCCGGGCGUGCAGUGGAUACGGGCUGGCCAGAGGCAGGCAGGGGAGAACGGAAUUCCCGGUGUAGCGGUGAAAUGCGCAGAUAUCAGGAGGAACACCGGUGGCGAAGGCGGGUCUCUGGGCCGAUACUGACACUGAGGAGCGAAAGCGUGGGGAGCGAACAGG